UACGGAGGGUGCAAGCAUUAAUCGGAUUUACUGGGCGUAAAGGGCGCGUAGGCGGGAAAGGAAGUCAAAUGUGAAAUACCGGGGCUCAACUUCGGUGCUGCAUUUGAGACUCCUUUUCUGGAGGGUCAGCGGAGAAAACGGAAUUCCACGUGUAGCGGUGAAAUGCGUAGAUAUGUGGAGGAACACCUGUGGCGAAAGCGGUUUUCUAGCUGAUUUCUGACGCUGAGGCGCGAAAGCAAGGGGAGCAAACAGG
This 253-nucleotide ribosomal RNA is filed under the name uncultured bacterium. RNAcentral describes it as "partial 16S ribosomal RNA". It matches the Rfam family "Bacterial small subunit ribosomal RNA", at positions 524 to 776 of the family's 1533-position model. The record is from RNAcentral.